UACGAACUGUGCGAACGUUAUUCGGAAUCACUGGGCUUACAGGGUGCGUAGGCGGCUUAGCAAGUCCGGUGUGAAAGCCCCCGGCUCAACCGGGGAACUGCGCUUGAAACUGCUGAGCUCGAGUCAGCUAGAGGUACACGGAACUUCCAGUGGAGCGGUGAAAUGUGUUGAUAUUGGAAGGAACACCGGAGGCGAAAGCGGUGUACUGGGGCUGGUCUGACGCUGAGGCACGAAAGCCAGGGGAGCGAACGGG
RNAcentral lists this ribosomal RNA (253 nucleotides) under uncultured bacterium. RNAcentral describes it as "partial 16S ribosomal RNA". It matches the Rfam family "Bacterial small subunit ribosomal RNA", at positions 524 to 776 of the family's 1533-position model. The record is from RNAcentral.